Molecule: unclassified non-coding RNA, 325 nt
Filed under: Hevea brasiliensis (rubber tree)
Lineage: Eukaryota; Viridiplantae; Streptophyta; Magnoliopsida; Malpighiales; Euphorbiaceae
Source: RNAcentral
GCGGGACAUAAGCUGAGAGCUUGCGAAACGAGGAAGGGUUGAUAGGGCAGGAAUUGAGGAGGAGAGUGCCAGUUGUUGGGGAAGUGCGUGCGGCUAAAAUGUCUAGGAGAGAGGAUUUUCCAGCUCCACUGGGGCCAACAAUGGCAAGGAUUUGAGAUGGACAGGCUGCGAAAGACACAUCCUGAAGAAUAUAAGUUGGUGGGGUUGCAGUGCAGGGUUUGAAGAGAAAGAAUGGCACAAUGCUUUUAGUUAUGGUAGUAGAUUUCACAUAGCAGACUGAUGAGGCUGUUAAUUUAUAUGUCUUAAGUGAGGUCGGUGGUGAAGA